Salvia miltiorrhiza (redroot sage) is the source of this 705-nucleotide long non-coding RNA. RefSeq lists it as uncharacterized. The transcript is spliced from 3 exons. The record is from RefSeq and is a predicted model, not a curated record. Lineage: Eukaryota; Viridiplantae; Streptophyta; Magnoliopsida; Lamiales; Lamiaceae.
AUAGGACAAGAUAGCUCGAAGGACAAAGGGAAAAGGAUUGCUAGAGACGAAGAUGAAGAUGAUGUUUUCCAAGUAUGUAGAGUGAUGAAGUAUUACGCUUUAUGCGUGGACCUGAAGAAGGAAAGGGUGCAUGUCUUAGAUAGUCAAAACGAGAGUGAAGCUCAGAUCAAAGAAGAAAAAUACACCCGAACAGUUGAUGAAUUGAAGCAAAUGAUGGUGGACUACAUGACCAAUAUCAAUGAAGUUCAUAAGAGCAUUAUUGUGAAGAGGUCAAAGAUGUCUAUAGUUCAUAUAAAAUGGGGUGAUGUGAAGAACAUUAAUUAAUGACACAGGAGUAUACCUAAUGAGGCAUAUGGAGACUUUCAUGGGUGAAGGUGCAUAUAGUUGGAGCUGUGGGCUAACUGCGAAACUGAAGAAGCAAUUGAAUCUGUUGAGGGUGAGGUACUGCGCAACUAUUAUUGGGUGGGAGAAAAAUAGUGUUAAAGAUGAUGUUACUAUUAGUGCGACUGACUACUAUGAGGAGGUUGUUGGUGACCCGAUCAUUAACAUCGACAUGACACUGCUUGGAUAAAAACAACAUUAUUGGCAUGACAGUUAUAAGUUUUUUGUUUCUUGGUAAAAACAAGUGGACAAUGUUUACAGUUAUUUAAGCAUUUAUAUGGAUGCAAAUUUGUUUUUGGAUUAUGAUCGUUUUAAAAUAAAGAA